Molecule: ribosomal RNA, 195 nt
Filed under: uncultured bacterium
Lineage: Bacteria
Description: partial 16S ribosomal RNA
Rfam family: Bacterial small subunit ribosomal RNA
Source: RNAcentral
CCUACGGGAGGCAGCAGUAGGGAAUCUUCCGCAAUGGACGAAAGUCUGACGGAGCGACGCCGCGUGAGCGAAGAAGGCCUUCGGGUCGUAAAGCUCUGUUGUGAGGGACGAAGGAGCGCCGUUUGAACAAGGCGGCGCGGUGACGGUACCUCACGAGAAAGCCCCGGCUAACUACGUGCCAGCAGCCGCGGUAAU